GACGAACGCUGGCGGCGUGCUUAACACAUGCCAGUCGAACGGAAAGGCCCUGCUUUUGUGGGGUGCUCGAGUGGCGAACGGGUGAGUAACACGUGAGUAACCUGCCCUUGACUUUGGGAUAACUUCAGGAAACUGGGGCUAAUACCGGAUAGGAGCUCCUGCUGCAUGGUGGGGGUUGGAAAGUUUCGGCGGUUGGGGAUGGACUCGCGGCUUAUCAGCUUGUGGGUGGGGUAGUGGCUUACCAAGGCUUUGACGGGUAGCCGGCCUGAGAGGGUGACCGGCCACAUUGGGACUGAGAUACGGCCCAGACUCCUACGGGAGGCAGCAGUGGGGAAUAUUGCACAAUGGGCGGAAGCCUGAUGCAGCAACGCCGCGUGCGGGAUGAAGGCCUUCGGGUUGUAAACCGCUUUCGCCUGUGACGAAGCGUGAGUGACGGUAAUGGGUAAAGAAGCACCGGCUAACUACGUG
Molecule: ribosomal RNA, 468 nt
Filed under: uncultured bacterium
Lineage: Bacteria
Description: partial 16S ribosomal RNA
Rfam family: Bacterial small subunit ribosomal RNA
Source: RNAcentral